CCUACGGGUGGCAGCAGUGGGGAAUUUUGCACAAUGGGGGAAACCCUGAUGCAGCGACGCCGCAUGAGUGAAGAAGUAUUUCGGUAUGUAAAGCCCUAUCAGCAGGGAAGAAAAUGACGGUACCUGAUUAAGAAGCCCCUGCUAACUACGUGCCAGCAGCCGCGGUAAUACGUCGGGGGCAAGCGUUAUCCGGAUUUACUGGGUGUAAAGGGAGCGUAGACGGCAGAGCAAGUCUGAAGUGAAAGGCCGGGGCUUAACCCCGGAACUGCUUUGGAAACUGUGCAGCUAGAGUGGAGGAGAGGUAAGUGGAAUUCCUAGGGGAGCGGUGAAAUGCGUAGAUAUUAGGAAGAACACCGGUUGCGAAGGCGGCCUACUGGACUGUAACUGACGUUGAGGCUCGAAAGCGUGGGGAGCAAACAGGAUUAGAUACCCUGGUAGUC
Molecule: ribosomal RNA, 440 nt
Filed under: uncultured bacterium
Lineage: Bacteria
Description: partial 16S ribosomal RNA
Rfam family: Bacterial small subunit ribosomal RNA
Source: RNAcentral